GAGUUUGAUCAUGGCUCAGAUUGAACGCUGGCGGCAUGCCUUACACAUGCAAGUCGAACGGCAGCACGGGAGCUUGCUCCUGGUGGCGAGUGGCGAACGGGUGAGUAAUGCAUCGGAACGUAGUCCUGGAGUGGGGGAUAACGUAGCGAAAGUUACGCUAAUACCGCAUAUUCUGUGAGCAGGAAAGCGGGGGACCUUCGGGCCUCGCGCUCUUGGAGCGGCCGAUGUCGGAUUAGCUAGUUGGUGAGGUAAAGGCUCACCAAGGCGACGAUCCGUAGCAGGUCUGAGAGGAUGAUCUGCCACACUGGAACUGAGACACGGUCCAGACUCCUACGGAGGCAGCAGUGGGAAUUUUGGACAAUGGGGGCAACCCUGAUCCAGCCAUGCCGCGUGAGUGAAG
RNAcentral lists this ribosomal RNA (400 nucleotides) under bacterium enrichment culture clone ALO1_GLFRUDD03HERRE. RNAcentral describes it as "bacterial SSU rRNA". It matches the Rfam family "Bacterial small subunit ribosomal RNA", at positions 9 to 410 of the family's 1533-position model. The record is from RNAcentral.